GUAAGGAAUAUUGGUCAAUGGAGGCAACUCUGAACCAGCCAUGCCGCGUGCAGGAAGACGGCCCUCUGGGUUGUAAACUGCUUUUAUCCGGGAAUAAACCUGCCUUCGUGAAGGUAGCUGAAUGUACCGGAAGAAUAAGGAUCGGCUAACUCCGUGCCAGCAGCCGCGGUAAUACGGAGGAUCCAAGCGUUAUCCGGAUUUAUUGGGUUUAAAGGGUGCGUAGGCGGCCUGUUAAGUCAGGGGUGAAAGACGGUGGCUCAACCAUCGCAGUGCCCUUGAUACUGAUGGGCUUGAAUGGACUAGAGGUAGGCGGAAUGUGACAAGUAGCGGUGAAAUGCAUAGAUAUGUCACAGAACACCGAUUGCGAAGGCAGCUUACUAUGGUCCUAUUGACGCUGAGGCACGAAAGCGUGGGGAUCGAACAGGAUUAGAUACCCUGGUAGUCC
RNAcentral lists this ribosomal RNA (445 nucleotides) under uncultured bacterium. Its description in RNAcentral is "partial 16S ribosomal RNA". It matches the Rfam family "Bacterial small subunit ribosomal RNA", at positions 354 to 796 of the family's 1533-position model. The record is from RNAcentral.